UAUCAAAAUAUCAAUAUUUUUCUAGAAUGUUCCAGCGCUACCUACCGACGAUCGACAGUUCUGUUCCCACCACCACCGCCGCUGAUUCUACAAACAGAUCCCCACAAUCAACCUCAACCCUCUGAAAACAAAACAUUCUCAGAAGAAUAAAAAGAAUUAAAAAGUUGACAACUCCAACACUCAAUAAUCAUUUAUUAUUCCUAUGUUGAUGAAAAAGAAAAUUUGAGCAGUUCAGAAUGAAACUCAUUUAUUAGAUAUUGCAAACAAUCAUGAAUAAUUCGAUUACGAAAGUUAAAAAAAUAUUCAUGACAAAUUUAUCGACAUUUUUAACCAAUAAAAACGUCAAUGAUUGGGUUUAAUUUAAAGACGGUCGGGUAAAGAAGAUCAAUGAAUUUAAGGAUAUUUAAUUCCCUGGAAUUUAUAAAAAAAAAUGUUUUUAUAAAUUGAGAAACAAAAUCCUUGCAAUGGGUCACUAUGCAAAAUCUAUACAUUUUAUGGAAUCUAAAAAAAAAUUGCGAAAACUGGAGGAUACCCUCAGAAAGAAAAUCGAGGUCAAAAAAUAUAAAAACAAUUUUUGAGCAAAUGAAAUUUGUAAUACUAGCCGAAGCGCCCAUCUUCUAAAUUAAUUUUCUAAACUCAAGUGACUUUAUUAUAAACAUGUAGAUUAUAUUGUCUUCUUCUGAAUAAUGCUCAUUACACAAAUUACAUGUAAAAAUUAUAUUAAACUAUA
This is a long non-coding RNA of Eurytemora carolleeae, 730 nucleotides long. RefSeq lists it as uncharacterized. The record is from RefSeq and is a predicted model, not a curated record. The transcript has 2 exons. NCBI's taxonomy places the organism in Eukaryota, Metazoa, Arthropoda, Copepoda, Calanoida, Temoridae.